GCGGAAGUGGUCGGUGUAGCAGGGAAUGUCUCACUCAGUCCGGUAUCCGACCGAUACAGACAUGCUCUGUCAACAAUAGCGGCGCUUUAUUCGCUUACGUGGACCAGGCAGCGUAGAGGUAGUGCGCGUCUAUUCUCUCCCGGUAGCUAAAAUACAUAUAUAUCAAAACCAAAUCGUAAGUUACUACUUAUCCCUCGCUUUAAAGAGAGGGCACGAGCUAGUUGCUAAGCUAAUGCUAGCAAGGUGUAGGAUUUCAGGAAGUUUCCACCUGCCUUACCUUCACCUGGCUACUGUAAGCGUAGCCUGCGAGCUAACAGGCCGUAAAGCAACGUAAGUCGUUGUGGUCCAGCAAAGGACGAGGACCACGUAGAACUCACUCCAAAUCCUAAUUGACAUGGAUGGAUGAAAAACGCAGACCAGUUUGGUCGGAUAUUUUAUGUUGUGCAUUGUAGUUUCUAUGAGCGGGAAAACUCAGGGAAAACUGACUUGAUGAAGGUGUUUGCUGUUAAAUCUUAAGCUGAUUGAGGAAGCCGUUGAUUUAGAUGUUAUUAUUGAUAUACAGUGUCGUGAAAACGUAUUUGCCCCUUCUUGGUUUAUUUUUUUUGCCUAUUUGUCACACUUAUAGGUGAUGUUUCAUAGCAUCAAACACAUUUUUAUAUUAGACAGAUAACCUGAAUAAUUGUAAAAUGAGGGGAAAUCCAAACCUACCGUGCACCCAUGUGAAGUAAUUGACGAAGUGAAUUAGGCUAUCGAUCUCUGUUACUCCAAGACGGCGCCAACGACUCAAUCAAGUCCAAAAAAACCCUAGAACAACAUGUGGAGAACUGCAGCGCUCGCUGGCCUCAGUUGGGGUCAGAGUACACGACUCCACAAUACGGGACAG
Molecule: long non-coding RNA, 883 nt
Organism: Gasterosteus aculeatus aculeatus (three-spined stickleback)
Lineage: Eukaryota; Metazoa; Chordata; Actinopteri; Perciformes; Gasterosteidae
Source: Ensembl